AAUGAACGCUGGCGGCGCGCCUAAUACAUGCAAGUCGAGCGAGAAGACGUAGCAAUACGUUUGUAAAGCGGCGAACGGGUGAGGAAUACAUGGGUAACCUACCCUCGAGUGGGGAAUAACUAGCCGAAAGGUUAGCUAAUACCGCGUACGCUCCUUGGACUUCGGUUCAGGGAGGAAAGCGAUACCGUGGGUAUCGCGCUCUUGGUUGGGCUCAUGUCCUAUCAGCUUGUUGGUGAGGAACGGCUCACCAAGGCUUCGACGGGUAGCUGGUCUGAGAGGACGAUCAGCCACACUGGCACUGCGACACGGGCCAGACUCCUACGGGAGGCAGCAGUAAGGAAUAUUGCGCAAUGGGCGAAAGCCUGACGCAGCGACGCCGCGUGGGGGAGUGAAGGUCGUUCGG
Molecule: ribosomal RNA, 403 nt
Filed under: uncultured bacterium
Lineage: Bacteria
Description: bacterial SSU rRNA
Rfam family: Bacterial small subunit ribosomal RNA
Source: RNAcentral